GGGCUGCAGUGGGAACAAAGCUGUGGAUUUCUGGGUUCCCUUGAGCCCCAAGAGCUGGGCCUCUCCCCAGGACUCGGAAACAGAAAGUUGCUUCCCAACUCAGAAUGUCCAUAUUUCUGCCAGAUGAUCAGAAGCACCUGAUUCGAAACCAGAAUCUGGCGUAGAAACCCAGACCCCAGGAACCCACUCCUGGCCUGCUAAAUCAAAAUCUGCGCAGCGAGGACCCAGAAUCUGGAUUUAACCAGAUAUUAUAUGAGGAUUGUCUCCCCAGAAAGCCAACGUUCAUGAUCAUUAUUCUUGUGGAUGAGGAGUCUCAAGGUGACCAGUGUUUGCUGGAGGAGCUGCUGGAAUUUGCAAGACACAUCCUGGACCUCUGAUGACUGCUGAGUAAGAACUUGACAGACUUCCCCCCACAACUCCCCACCCCGGCAAAAUGGCUGAAGGUGGUCAAAAGCUUUGCAGAUGGCGGUCAGGAACAAGGCAUCUGUACUUCCCUAUGGGGAAAACGAUAAGCAAAAAAGCAGGCUCUUCUGGACCCACGGCCCUCAUGUAGCUACUGUGUAAUCAAGAAGCUAGAGCUGGGAGGACCCUAGCCUUCUGCCCAGCACCCCGGCCAAGAGCCUUCUGUGCACGCACCCUGGUUACCCGCUCAGAAAGAGAACACGGUUGGCCAAUAAAUGCAAGAAAAAUAUCCAGCUGCUCUAAGUUUUGCCUUUCACACUGUCAAAGAUUUUUUUUUUAAUUGUUAUACUCAGUCUUGGAAGGCUACCAUAAGAGACACUCAUAUAUAAUUUGGUGGGAGGUGGGGGAGUAAGAGAUAUUUGUGUGUAUUGAUGUGAUUGAAUAAUAUAUCUCCAUUGAAGUUAGAAUUAUGGAAGACUAUUUAGUGUCCUAGGGAAUGUUCCUGUGAUGUUAAUGAAAAAGCAGAUUACAAAAUAAUAUCUCAGGUAGAAUUCUUUGUUAAAAAUAUAUAGAUGGGUUAUACAUUCAAACCACAGUUCACAAUAAAAGA
This is a long non-coding RNA of Suricata suricatta (meerkat), 1012 nucleotides long. RefSeq lists it as uncharacterized. Lineage: Eukaryota; Metazoa; Chordata; Mammalia; Carnivora; Herpestidae. The record is from RefSeq and is a predicted model, not a curated record. The transcript is spliced from 4 exons.